RNAcentral lists this ribosomal RNA (449 nucleotides) under uncultured bacterium. RNAcentral describes it as "partial 16S ribosomal RNA". It matches the Rfam family "Bacterial small subunit ribosomal RNA", at positions 29 to 523 of the family's 1533-position model. The record is from RNAcentral.
AGCGAACGCUGGCGGCAGGCCUAACACAUGCAAGUCGAGCGCCGUAGCAAUACGGAGCGGCAGACGGGAGAGUAACACGUGGGAACGUACCCUUUGGUUCGGAACAACCCAGGGAAACUUGGGCUAAUACCGAAUAAGCCCUCACGGGGAAAGAUUUAUCGCCGAAGGAUCGGCCCGCGUCUGAUUAGCUAGUUGGUGAGGUAAUGGCCCACCAAGGCGACGAUCAGUAGCUGGUCUGAGAGGAUGAUCAGCCUCACUGGGACUGAGACACGGCCCAGACUCCUACGGGAGGCAGCAGUGGGGAAUAUUGGACAAUGGGCGCAAGCCUGAUCCAGCCAUGCCGCGUGGGUGAUGAAGGCCCUAGGGUUGUAAAGCCCUUUCGGCGGGGAAGAUAAUGACGGUACCCGCAGAAGAAGCCCCGGCUAACUUCGUGCCAGCAGCCGCCGUAA